GAGUUUUUCAUUAAGGCUCUGAAAGGAUGGAGGAAACAAAGAGACCAAUUUGGGGCUCUAAGAAUGUAAAGAGUCAUAAUAUUCCACAAGAUUUUACCACUUUACUCAUUUUUGUCUCAAAAUCGUACACUUCACAUUUAUCCUUCAAGGCACAAUGCCCUUUAUUUUUAUUUUUUGAGAUGGAGUUUCGUUCUUGUUGCCCAGGCUGGAGUGCAAUGGCAUGAUCUUGGCUCACUGCAACCUCCACCUCCCGGGUUCAAGCAAUUCUCCAGCCUUAGUCUCCUGAGUAGCUGGGAUUACAGGUGCCCACCAGCAUGCCCAGCUAAUUUUUGUAUUUUUAGAAGAGACAGGGUUUUGCCAUGUUGGCCAGGCUGGUCUCGAACUCCUGACUUCAGGUGAUCUGCCCACUUUGGCCUCCCAAAGUGCUGGGAUUACAGGUGUGAGUCACCGCGCCCGGCCACAAUGCCCUUUAUAUUGCAAUAAACUCUUUAUAUAAUAAAAUAUAAAUAUAUUGCAGUUUCUCCUAAUUCACAGCUUAUGUAAAACAUGUAUUAAGGCAACAGACUAUUUGUUCCUUUUGAAGAAAAUUAAUUACAUCUUUGUGUGUGAGAGAUUCCUACAUGUUAACAAAAAUAUAGUGAGUCAAAUUCACAAUUUGGUUAAAAUUAGGCCUUGAAAUCAGGCUCUUCCCUUUAGCUAUAUGACACAUUUGUACUUUACAUGGCUUCAGAUGGCCACUACACUUGACAAGUCAUCUGUCAAAAGUCAAAACGGUCUCUAACAAUGAUAGCUAGGAUAAAGCUGUGAACAUUUGUGAAAUUCUACUGCUGGAGUGUCUCUAUUUUCCUGUCCCCAUCAUAGAUGGUGAAUUUGCCUGUCUUUUUGGACAGCUAAUGAAAAUUGUUCUGCCAGUUCUGUGACCUGGGAGAAAGUAACUUAGCCUCUCUGUGCCUCUGCUUCCUUAUUUGUGAAACCGAAAAAGAGAACCCAGAGGUUUCUUUGGGGAAUAAAUGAGUGAAUAUGUGCGAAGUGAUUAGAACAGGGUCUGGCACACAGGGUGUACUCAAUAAAAACUGUACAUUUUGUGGUAUUUAAAUUGUUAGUACAGAGUAUUUUCUCGUGAAGCUAGUUUUGGGUGGAAAGUAGUGCAUGAGAAACAUUGUUAUGGUAACUUUCUAGUGGAGGGAAUUGCACACUUUUUACAAAUGUUUCCUUUGUCCCCUAUAUCACCAACAGGGAUUAUCUCAAUGAUGAGGCCUUAUGGAACAAGUGCCGAGAGCCUCUCAAUGUGGUUCCCUGGAAUCUGACCCUCUUCUCCAUCCUGCUGGUCGUAGGAGGAAUCCAGAUGGUUCUCUGCGCCAUCCAGGUGGUCAAUGGCCUCCUGGGGACCCUCUGUGGGGACUGCCAGUGUUGUGGCUGCUGUGGGGGAGAUGGACCCGUUUAAACCUCCGAGAUGAGCUGCUCAGACUCUACAGCAUGACGACUACAAUUUCUUUUCAUAAAACUUCUUCUCUUCUUGGAAUUAUUAAUUCCUAUCUGCUUCCUAGCUGAUAAAGCUUAGAAAAGGCAGUUAUUCCUUCUUUCCAACCAGCUUUGCUCGAGUUAGAAUUUUGUUAUUUUCAAAUAAAAAAUAGUUUGGCCACUUAACAAAUUUGAUUUAUAAAUCUUUCAAAUUAGUUCCUUUUUAGAAUUUACCAACAGGUUCAAAGCAUACUUUUCAUGAUUUUUUUAUUACAAAUGUAAAAUGUAUAAAGUCACAUGUACUGCCAUACUACUUCUUUGUAUAUAAAGAUGUUUAUAUCUUUGGAAGUUUUACAUAAAUCAAAGGAAGAAAGCACAUUUAAAAUGAGAAACUAAGACCAAUUUCUGUUUUUAAGAGGAAAAAGAAUGAUUGAUGUAUCCUAAGUAUUGUUAUUUGUUGUCUUUUUUUGCUGCCUUGCUUGAGUUGCUUGUGACUGAUCUUUUGAGGCUGUCAUCAUGGCUAGGGUUCUUUUAUGUAUGUUAAAUUAAAACCUGAAUUC
This 2021-nucleotide long non-coding RNA is filed under the name Homo sapiens (human). RNAcentral describes it as "HSALNT0062047". Lineage: Eukaryota; Metazoa; Chordata; Mammalia; Primates; Hominidae. The record is from RNAcentral.